AGUUGAGUAGUUUAUUGAAAACCCUUGCUUUGAAAGUAAGAGAAACUCGAUGAGUCUCAGCUU
Molecule: transfer RNA, 63 nt
Filed under: Goniodes dissimilis (brown chicken louse)
Lineage: Eukaryota; Metazoa; Arthropoda; Insecta; Psocodea; Philopteridae
Description: tRNA-Ser
Source: RNAcentral